Molecule: long non-coding RNA, 1521 nt
Organism: Mesocricetus auratus (golden hamster)
Lineage: Eukaryota; Metazoa; Chordata; Mammalia; Rodentia; Cricetidae
Exons: 2
Source: RefSeq, a predicted model, not a curated record
UACUCCAUUCAAUGAGCAUGGAUGUAGGAGACAGAAAAGCAAAUGCUGGCCAGGCCUGGACAGGGUGAAUAGAACUCCCUUAUUGGUCUUACUGUCCCUUAAACGGACAACCUGAAACACUAAACCCUCUCUGUUUCUCUUGGAUAUGGCCCUGUCUGGCAGAGCCCCCUCAACCCUUCUCCAGCUCCUGACCAAAAUUAUACCAGCUUCCUGCUGAAAGCCUUCCAGUUCCCGGGCUUCUGACCAAAAGACUCUUAAAACCUUGCCCUGUGACCAGCGCAAAGCCUGAUGGGAUGCAACUGAGAGUGAUGGACAAGGGAUGGAGGGUGACUCACAGGUGUUGUGUCUGAGCAUCAGAGAUGACAGCCCCACUGUGGUGAACAUGGAGGUCAUAUCUCCUGGCAAGCUCAGCCCCAGAUCAUCUUUUCCCAGCUGCCACAACGAGAGGGGAGACAAUGGGAGGUCCCACCAGCCUUCCGGUCCCCCCAGCCCUGUACCCUGCCUGCUCUUCUCCUCUUCUGCCCCCCCACAUACACACCCCACCAGGCUGUCCUAAGUCUGGUCAACUCCCCAUCUCCCUUCAAAUGUGCAGACCUCUUUGGGUCUCUUGUGCCCAUCUAUGAAAUGGGCUCAGUAAAUCUCACCCUGAUAACUUUGGGCUGUUGCGAAAAGUCAGAUGAGCCAACGGUACAACAGGCACACAGUAAAUGUCCAUAGGGACCUCCUUACAGUCCUCAGGAGUCCCUCCUCUCAGGGCAUCCAGAAUUAGAGGGCAACGGUCAGCCCCAGGAAGAUGCUCCAAAGGCACACACUUGAAACAGAGUGGAGGUGUCACCUGUGGGAGGGGCACAUUCUUACCACCCACAAAGCCAACAUCAUGAAAACUUCCUAGCCCUCAAACUGAGAAAGCCUUGCAGACUCAGGUAGGAAACAAGUCCACACAUCAGCUCAGCCAGCCAUGGCAGGAGUGCAAGGGAGCAGCCAGGGAGGUGGGUUCAGCUCAGGCAGACCUCAAUGGUUGCUGUGUGACAAAGGAUAUUCCUUCUUGUCUGGUCUGGAGCCUCUCCAGUGCUCAGAACAAAGGGAUGUGACCAGGAAUGAGUACCUUCUUUCCCCCUCUGGGCUCCAUCCUGAUAUCACAACCUACAGGGAACCUGACCAUAAAAAUCCCAGGAGAUCAGCUGGAAAAGUGACUCAAGUCAGCCCACACAGCCCAGGGCACUGGGUUUUCAUCUUGUAUCUCCAGAGCAUGCAAAUAGAGCAAGUCUUGUGGGCUGAUGGAGGAACCCCAAAGGUGAGGGUAGCCUGGGACAGCGUACCCUCACGCCCCUGUUCUCUGAGUCAAUUGAAUGUUGAAAAUCUGAAAGCUGCAAUUUCUCAUUGCUACAUCCUCCCCACCACAGGGAACACAUGCCCUGGGUCACUGCCACUGAACUCUGAAGCCUGACCAUAAAUAAUUAAAAUGAAAUUACAGUUGUCAAAAUAAAUUAGCAGGGAACCAGGAGCCUUGCCAUGCUGUGA